AACGAACGCUGGCGGCAGGCUUAACACAUGCAAGUCGAACGGGUGUAGCAAUACAUCAGUGGCAGACGGGUGAGUAACACGUGGGAACCUUCCUAGGGGUACGGAACAACUCAGGGAAACUUGAGCUAAUACCGUAUACGUCCGUAAGGAGAAAGAUUCAUCGCCCCUAGACGGGCCCGCGUCGGAUUAGGUAGUUGGUGGGGUAACGGCCUACCAAGCCUACGAUCCGUAGCUGACCUGAGAGGAUGAUCAGCCACACUGGGACUGAGACACGGCCCAGACUCCUACGGGAGGCAGCAGUGGGGAAUCUUGGACAAUGGGCGCAAGCCUGAUCCAGCCAUGCCGCGUGAGUGAAGAAGGCCUUAGGGUUGUAAAGCUCUUUACCAGGGACGAUAAUGACGGUACCUGGAGAAUAAGCCCCGGCAAACUUCGUG
This 434-nucleotide ribosomal RNA is filed under the name uncultured bacterium. Its description in RNAcentral is "bacterial SSU rRNA". It matches the Rfam family "Bacterial small subunit ribosomal RNA", at positions 29 to 507 of the family's 1533-position model. The record is from RNAcentral.